This is a long non-coding RNA of Cucurbita moschata (crookneck pumpkin), 661 nucleotides long. RefSeq lists it as uncharacterized. Lineage: Eukaryota; Viridiplantae; Streptophyta; Magnoliopsida; Cucurbitales; Cucurbitaceae. The record is from RefSeq and is a predicted model, not a curated record. The transcript has 3 exons.
AAAUAACCACAAAAUAAAAUCAAGUUGCAAUGCCACAUUAAAGAAGAAUCAAGUUUCUUGGAUGGUUACAAAUUUUGGGUGGAUGGCAAUCUAGAGUUAUGGUGUUUCAUUAAUAAAUUUGAGUUUUAAGAUUUUGUAUUUACUUUAAGGUUACAUUUACAAAGUGGCUAAUUAUGGUUAUAAAGUACAAAAGUUAUAACUCUUGAAAUGCCUCGUGAAAGGUCAAGGGUUUUUUUUUAGGCUAUACAAAGUCAUGUAUGUUGUCUUUGUAAGCUAGACUUGAAAAAUGCAGUGAAAAAGCAUUUGUGCCUUCCUUUAGCUAAAUGCUAAAUUUUUUUUCAAUUUUAUAUAAUUUAGGUUGCAUGCGUAGAAUCAUUCAAGCUUGACAUGCCUAUCUUGCUUGUGGAGUGAUUCGAAUCUCAAACAAGUUUUCUUAUCUUGAGAUAUUUGAUCAAUAAGGUAAUCUAGGUUUUACUUUUCCUUGGGGUAAUUCCUUAUCAUUAUGGAGGAAUUGGAUAUUCAGAUCUAAAAGUCUUACUAAGGUUGUUAGAUCGAAUUCACAAGAGUUACAAUUAUUUGGGAUGAAACCAUUUUAAUUUGGGAGUUUCAGCAUUUAUGAUCUAGGGGUUUGCAUAUCUAUGAGGGUUCUUAGGUCCGCUGG